RNAcentral lists this ribosomal RNA (508 nucleotides) under uncultured bacterium. RNAcentral's name for it is "bacterial SSU rRNA". It matches the Rfam family "Bacterial small subunit ribosomal RNA", at positions 28 to 537 of the family's 1533-position model. The record is from RNAcentral.
GAUGAACGCUGGCGGCGUGCCUAACACAUGCAAGUCGAACGAAUUACUUUAAAGGAAGUUUUCGGAUGGAAUUUAAAGUAGUUAGUGGCGGACGGGUGAGUAACGCGUGGGAAACCUGCCCUAUACAGGGGGAUAGCCUCGGGAAACUGGGAUUAAUACCCCAUAAAACUCUAGUAUCGCAUGAUACAUGAGCCAAAGAUUUAUCGGUAUAGGAUGGUCCCGCGUCUGAUUAGCUAGUUGGUGAGGUAACGGCUCACCAAGGCGACGAUCAGUAGCCGGCCUGAGAGGGUGAACGGCCACACUGGAACUGAGACACGGUCCAGACUCCUACGGGAGGCAGCAGUGGGGAAUAUUGCACAAUGGGGAAACCCUGAUGCAGCGACGCCGCGUGAGCGAAGAAGGCCUCGGGUCGUAAAGCUCUGUCCUAAGGGAAGAAACGGACGGUACCUUACGGAGGAAGCCCGGCUAACUACGUGCCAGCAGCCGCGGUAAAACUCAACCGUAGUAA